This 29-nucleotide small RNA is filed under the name Bombyx mori (domestic silkworm). Its description in RNAcentral is "ovarian small RNA-5817". Lineage: Eukaryota; Metazoa; Arthropoda; Insecta; Lepidoptera; Bombycidae. The record is from RNAcentral.
UAAUCAAAAUUAGCAAGUCACCGGUGGUC